RNAcentral lists this small RNA (81 nucleotides) under uncultured Synechococcus sp. RNAcentral describes it as "Cyanobacterial ribosomal protein S1 leader". It matches the Rfam family "Cyanobacterial ribosomal protein S1 leader". Rfam says of the family: cyano-S1 is a ncRNA recognized in the 5-prime region of genes encoding 30S ribosomal protein S1, it has been proposed as an cis regulation element. The record is from RNAcentral. Lineage: Bacteria; Bacillati; Cyanobacteriota; Cyanophyceae; Synechococcales; Synechococcaceae.
UCUGUAAAAUUAAAAAAUACUGAUUCUUUGUCGGCGGGCACUGGGUCAUUUUUUAUCGCACUGUCUCCGGGCAGACCGCCA